Molecule: ribosomal RNA, 826 nt
Filed under: Striaticonidium brachysporum
Lineage: Eukaryota; Fungi; Ascomycota; Sordariomycetes; Hypocreales; Stachybotryaceae
Description: eukaryotic LSU rRNA
Rfam family: Eukaryotic large subunit ribosomal RNA
Source: RNAcentral
AUUGCCUCAGUAACGGCGAGUGAAGCGGCAACAGCUCAAAUUUGAAAUCUGGCCCCCGGCCCGAGUUGUAAUUUGCAGAGGAUGCUUUUGGCGAGGUGCCUUCCGAGUUCCCUGGAACGGGACGCCAUAGAGGGUGAGAGCCCCGUCUGGUCGGACACCGAGCCUCUGUAAAGCUCCUUCGACGAGUCGAGUAGUUUGGGAAUGCUGCUCAAAAUGGGAGGUAUAUGUCUUCUAAAGCUAAAUACCGGCCAGAGACCGAUAGCGCACAAGUAGAGUGAUCGAAAGAUGAAAAGCACUUUGAAAAGAGAGUUAAAUAGCACGUGAAAUUGUUGAAAGGGAAGCGUUUAUGACCAGACUUGGCCCGGUUGAUCAUCCAGCGUUCUCGCUGGUGCACUCUGCCGGUCCAGGCCAGCAUCAGUUCGCCGCGGGGGAAAAAGGCUUCGGGAAUGUGGCUCCUCCGGGAGUGUUAUAGCCCGUUGCGUAAUACCCUGCGGUGGACUGAGGUCCGCGCUCUGCAAGGAUGCUGGCGUAAUGGUCAUCAACGACCCGUCUUGAAACACGGACCAAGGAGUCGUCUUCGUAUGCGAGUGUUCGGGUGCAAAACCCCUACGCGUAAUGAAAGUGAACGCAGGUGAGAGCUUCGGCGCAUCAUCGACCGAUCCUGAUGUUCUCGGAUGGAUUUGAGUAAGAGCAUACGGGGCCGGACCCGAAAGAAGGUGAACUAUGCCUGUAUAGGGUGAAGCCAGAGGAAACUCUGGUGGAGGCUCGCAGCGGUUCUGACGUGCAAAUCGAUCGUCAAAUAUGGGCAUGGGGGCGAAAGACUAAU